CCGCUGAGUUUAAGCAUAUCACUAAGC
RNAcentral lists this ribosomal RNA (27 nucleotides) under Scapania paludicola. RNAcentral describes it as "partial 26S ribosomal RNA". Lineage: Eukaryota; Viridiplantae; Streptophyta; Jungermanniopsida; Jungermanniales; Scapaniaceae. The record is from RNAcentral.